GUGCUUAACACAUGCAAGUCGAACGAUGAACCACUUCGGUGGGGAUUAGUGGCGAACGGGUGAGUAACACGUGGGCAAUCUGCCCUGCACUCUGGGACAAGCCCUGGAAACGGGGUCUAAUACCGGAUACUGACCCGCUUGGGCAUCCAAGCGGUUCGAAAGCUCCGGCGGUGCAGGAUGAGCCCGCGGCCUAUCAGCUUGUUGGUGAGGUAAUGGCUCACCAAGGCGACGACGGGUAGCCGGCCUGAGAGGGCGACCGGCCACACUGGGACUGAGACACGGCCCAGACUCCUACGGGAGGCAGCAGUGGGGAAUAUUGCACAAUGGGCGAAAGCCUGAUGCAGCGACGCCGCGUGAGGGAUGACGGCCUUCGGGUUGUAAACCUCUUUCAGCAGGGAAGAAGCGAAAGUGACGGUACCUGCAGAAGAAGCGCCGGCUAACUACGUGCCAGCAGCCGCGGUAAUACGUAGGGCGCGAGCGUUGUCCGGAAUUAUUGGGCGUAAAGAGCUCGUAGGCGGCUUGUCACGUCGGUUGUGAAAGCCCGGGGCUUAACCCCGGGUCUGCAGUCGAUACGGGCAGGCUAGAGUUCGGUAGGGGAGAUCGGAAUUCCUGGUGUAGCGGUGAAAUGCGCAGAUAUCAGGAGGAACACCGGUGGCGAAGGCGGAUCUCUGGGCCGAUACUGACGCUGAGGAGCGAAAGCGUGGGGAGCGAACAGGAUUAGAUACCCUGGUAGUCCACGCCGUAAACGGUGGGCACUAGGUGUGGGCGACAUUCCACGUCGUCCGUGCCGCAGCUAACGCA
Molecule: ribosomal RNA, 801 nt
Filed under: Streptomyces sp. Sp080513M2-09
Lineage: Bacteria; Bacillati; Actinomycetota; Actinomycetes; Kitasatosporales; Streptomycetaceae
Description: bacterial SSU rRNA
Rfam family: Bacterial small subunit ribosomal RNA
Source: RNAcentral